CCAGACCUGUCCCUUGCAUCCAUGCCACUCAGAGUCUUGCCGAGCUCUCCUCAGCCAUUUGCAGAAGACAGAACAGACAUAGAAUGCGCCAGUCUCGGCUGGUUUCUGUCCUUGUCCGUUUGCACUGGGAAGACACCAGGUCCCUCACAGUUCAGGGCAAUGACUAAGUGGGAGGUGGCCUGUCCCUUGGUCUGAAAGCACUGAAGAAACAUUCAGAAGAGGGGUGACAGUUCAGAUACGACUUAGGCAAGCACGUGAGCGAGCCUCUGCUGAGUGCUGUGUAGCCUGGAGAGGUCAGAGUCUCCAUCUUCCAUCUGGUUGCAUGGACCGUUCUCCCAAGUGCUGUUGGCCAGUUCUCUCCUUGGGCGCUUUCUCAGAAGCCAGAUACCAGCAGGCACCAAAGCCUUGUGAUGUUCAGGACGUGCGUUUUAUGGCUGUAUCCUCAAAAUGCCUUUGUAAAUGAUUCUUCAGUCCCAUUUUAAAAACGAGAACAGCAAGGCUUCGGAAGAAGAGGUUGGAGGAUGAUGCCCAAGGUGCUUUCGGGUCGACUCACCAGGAUUUGAGGCCCGGGAGCGAGGCAGUGGGUGCCCAUCGGCCACCUCCGCAGCUGUAGGCAGGGGCUUUCCUGGCUGCCGUGAGAGUUGGGCUGUAUUCCCCGUCCAUGAUGCCAAUGCUACCCUCCCCUUAUAUCCGGCAAGUAAAUGGCACCAAACCGGACACAGCUGCUCACACUGCCGUCCCAGCACUUGGGAGAUCGAGGCAAGAAGUUCCAGGCUAGCCUGCCCUUUGCCGUCCAUGCGUCUCACGCACGUGGAGGAGAAUCUCAACUAUGAGGCUGCAGAGUCCAGAUACGUGGCUCAUCCUUACUGCACUACCUAAACCGGCCUGGUUCACACGUUAAUGUACCUGUGUGUCCUGUGCUGUCUCAGUGUCCAUUCUGAUUCCACGAACUUGUGUGGGCAGAGAAGAUGUCUGCCUUUCCACCAACCUCCAGGGUAAGGUAGGGGCCACUGCUCCUCAGACAACUCUUUGAGCCCCAAGGCCGGAGGAGGAUAGCGGUUGUGGUAAAGUUCUGCUAAGGAGGUGGGACCUUGCAGAACUCCGCCCAGAAUAUUGGAAUUAUCCACACAGAUCUCCUAAAAGUUGGGAACCCAAUCCCAGCUUUCUCUCUAACCACAUCUUAAGUCCUGUCAGAUGGAUGGAUCGCACCUGUUUCUCCAAGUUUCUGAUAAAGUGCUUGCUUAAGUCUACUUUGGUUUAACCAGCAGAUGUUUGGUUUCACCAGCAGAUGUUGGUAUGCCCAACUCUGGUCUUUCCUGGUCUUCAAGUCUGUUACCCACAGCUAAGGUGAGGGGGCCUUAUCUUCACUAAAACCUCGGACUUCACAUCCCGCCUACCACUUUCUCUUUUUCUCAUCUUGGAAAAGUCUUCAAGUCUACAAAGCAUCUUUUUCUCCUCCACCCUCUGGCCGCAGUUAGCAAUUGUCUACACGGUGCAUAAGGUGCCAUGUGAUCUGGUUGUCAGAAAGUGGUGUGACCUGAACGCACACACAUGCACACUCACACACCCGCCAGCAUGAGAAGAUACUUUGCUCCAAGAAUGGAUAACCUUAAACAUUAAUAAGUAGAAAAUCUGUGAAACCAAAGCAUUUUUUCCUCUUUUUGUAUAAUAGCCUUUCAUUCUUUUUAUGAUUUUGUCUUUGAAAGCUCUUUCUGCAGAUGACAGAUGAUAUUGUUCUUCCAUCCUGCUGCAGACAGAAAUAAGGGAGGCAGGGGAAACUAUUGUAGAACCUCCAUUCUGCAGCACGAUUUUUAUAAUUAAUAUAUACAACUGAGCAAAGAAAGGUACGUUAUAAUGAAAUGCAAUUAAGAGGUGUUUGUUCUUUCCCCACACAUGAUGACUAUAAUUUCCUUAGCUGUUUAGAAGUCAACCAUUAUCAUUACAUUUUGCACAUAUCUUUUCUUAUUUUUUUGCCCCCGAAUUUGUUUAUUUUCAAUAAAAAACAAACAAACCUA
Molecule: non-coding RNA, 2015 nt
Organism: Myodes glareolus (Bank vole)
Lineage: Eukaryota; Metazoa; Chordata; Mammalia; Rodentia; Cricetidae
Source: RefSeq, a predicted model, not a curated record